RNAcentral lists this unclassified non-coding RNA (303 nucleotides) under Hevea brasiliensis (rubber tree). Lineage: Eukaryota; Viridiplantae; Streptophyta; Magnoliopsida; Malpighiales; Euphorbiaceae. The record is from RNAcentral.
GGAAAGUGUUAUUUAGGUUUUCCAUUUAGUUGACUAUUGGAAUGACUAAAUUAUGAAAACAAUGAGUAAAUUAUAAUGAAAUUAAAGUUGAUGAUAAAAUUGGAAUAAAUGGAAAAUUAGUGACUGAAUUGACAUCAGCUUUAAGUUAAGAAACUACAAGUAAAAUUUACCCAUUCGAAAACCAAAUAAAACUAAGACUUAGGGAAACAAAAUUCUAUCAGAAAUUCUGAUAUGUGAAUUCAUUUUCAUAAAAAAACAACAGGCAACUGACAUUCAAGAUCCAUUUCGCAGAGCAAAAAAAAG